UACGUAGGGGGCAAGCGUUGUCCGGAUUUACUGGGCGUAAAGAGCGUGUAGGCGGCUUUACAGGUCCGUUGUGAAAACUCGAGGCUCAACCUCGAGACGCCGGUGGAAACCGUAAAGCUAGAGUCCGGAAGAGGAGAGUGGAAUUCCUGGUGUAGCGGUGAAAUGCGCAGAUAUCAGGAGGAACACCCGUGGCGAAAGCGGCUCUCUGGGACGGUACUGACGCUGAGACGCGAAAGCGUGGGGAGCAAACAGG
Molecule: ribosomal RNA, 253 nt
Filed under: uncultured bacterium
Lineage: Bacteria
Description: partial 16S ribosomal RNA
Rfam family: Bacterial small subunit ribosomal RNA
Source: RNAcentral